This is a long non-coding RNA of Rosa chinensis, 694 nucleotides long. RefSeq lists it as uncharacterized. NCBI's taxonomy places the organism in Eukaryota, Viridiplantae, Streptophyta, Magnoliopsida, Rosales, Rosaceae. The transcript has 3 exons. The record is from RefSeq and is a predicted model, not a curated record.
CUCUCUCUCUCUCUCUUGGAUCUCAGAAGACUGAAAGAAGGCAAAGAACCCUUCUCUCAAUCUCUCUCUCAAAUUGGGGAAAUCGAUUGCUUCUAUGAACCAAUCCUUCUCUCAAUCUGUCAGUCAAAUAUGGGAAAUCAAUGGCUGCUGUGAGGGUUGAACGCAAAUAUUUUCACUGACGCUACUUCUCCUUGUACCCCUACAAGCUCGAAGAGGUCAACAUCAAGUGCGGCGAGAUCUCAAAAUUUACGGAUCUCAAACCCGGCAGCUGUUCCAGUCUCACGCUCCACCUUCUUCAUUUUAUACAUCGAGGUUGGUUUUGAAAUGAUAGAUAGUAUUUCCAAAACGCAGGGCAUUGUGAUGAAUACAAUUCAGUUAAAGGCACUGGUUGGAAUAGUAGAGGUUCCAUUGGAGAGGUACCAAUUUUGGUGGUGAAGCCUCAAGCUUACAUGAAUUAUAGUGGGGAAGCAGUGUGUUCUCAUCAUCUUUGUUUGCUAUCUUGAGUUAAUAUAGGUUCAUUUUGGUGUUAUAUUCUUUUGAUCGUGUUUUAUUACUUUAUACCUUAAACUCUGGGACAUCCCAAAGGAAAUGACUGGGUUUGCUUUUUGUGUAAUGUUUUAAUCUUGUUCCUUUGAAUACUUUCUCCUUUGCAGAGUUUCUUUUGAGUUUCAACAUAAUUUUUGUGGUAGAUCAA